This 308-nucleotide ribosomal RNA is filed under the name uncultured eukaryote. RNAcentral describes it as "partial 18S ribosomal RNA". It matches the Rfam family "Eukaryotic small subunit ribosomal RNA", at positions 1470 to 1796 of the family's 1831-position model. The record is from RNAcentral.
CCCUUAGACGUUCUGGGCCGCACGCGCGCUACACUGACGAAGGCAACGAGCUUUCCUUUACCGAAAGGUACGGGUAAUCUUUUGAAACUUCGUCGUGCUGGGGAUAGAUCCUUGCAAUUUUUGAUCUUAAACGAGGAAUUCCUAGUAAGCGCAAGUCAUCAACUUGCGUUGAUUACGUCCCUGCCCUUUGUACACACCGCCCGUCGCUACUACCGAUUGAAUGGUUUAGUGAGGCCUUCGGAUCCGCGACUCGUUUUGUGGAGAAGUUGGGCAAACUCAGUCAUUUAGAGGAAGUAAAAGUCGUAACA